CCCUUAGAUGUUCUGGGCCGCACGCGUGCUACACUGAGUGGAUCAGCGGGUCAGGUUGCGCGAAAGUGUUUCCUAAUCUUUAAAUCCGCUCGUGAUGGGGAUUGACGGUUGCAAUUUUCCGUCAUGAACGAGGAAUACCUUGUAAGCGCGGGUCAUCAUCCCGCGCUGAAUACGUCCCUGCCCUUUGUACACACCGCCCGUCGCUCCUACCGAUUGAGUGGUCCGGUGAGGCUUUGGGAUCUGAGCGGAAAGAGCGUUUCGCUGUUUCUGCCCGAAAACUCAGUCGAACCUUAUCAUUUAGAGGAAGGAGAAGUCGUAACA
This 321-nucleotide ribosomal RNA is filed under the name uncultured eukaryote. RNAcentral's name for it is "partial 18S ribosomal RNA". It matches the Rfam family "Eukaryotic small subunit ribosomal RNA", at positions 1470 to 1796 of the family's 1831-position model. The record is from RNAcentral.